CCUUAGCUCAGUUGGUUAGAGCACUCGGCUCAUAACCGAUCGGUCACAGGUUCGAGUCCUGUAGGGC
Molecule: transfer RNA, 67 nt
Filed under: Paenibacillus antibioticophila
Lineage: Bacteria; Bacillati; Bacillota; Bacilli; Caryophanales; Paenibacillaceae
Rfam family: tRNA
About the family: Transfer RNA (tRNA) molecules are approximately 80 nucleotides in length. Their secondary structure includes four short double-helical elements and three loops (D, anti-codon, and T loops).
Source: RNAcentral